This 108-nucleotide small RNA is filed under the name Marmota monax (woodchuck). The record is from RNAcentral. Lineage: Eukaryota; Metazoa; Chordata; Mammalia; Rodentia; Sciuridae.
GCUGGGCGUGAUGGUGCACGUCUGUAAUCCCAGCUACUUGGGAGGCUGAGGCAGGAAGAUCGCAAGUUCAAGGCCAAGCCUGGACAACUUAGCAAGACCCUGUCUCAG